GUACACUCCUGCGGGAGGCAGCAGUGGGGAAUAUUGGACAAUGGGCGCAAGCCUGAUCCAGCCAUGCCGCGUGAGUGAUGAAGGCCCUAGGGUUGUAAAGCUCUUUCACCGGAGAAGAUAAUGACGGUAUCCGGAGAAGAAGCCCCGGCUAACUUCGUGCCAGCAGCCGCGGUAAUACGCAGGGGGCUAGCGUUGUUCGGAAUUACUGGGCGUAAAGCGCACGUAGGCGGAUCGAUCAGUCAGGGGUGAAAUCCCAGGGCUCAACCCUGGAACUGCCUUUGAUACUGUCGAUCUGGAGUAUGGAAGAGGUGAGUGGAAUUCCGAGUGUAGAGGUGAAAUUCGUAGAUAUUCGGAGGAACACCAGUGGCGAAGGCGGCUCACUGGUCCAUUACUGACGCUGAGGUGCGAAAGCGUGGGGAGCAAACAGGAUUAGAUACCCGGGUAGUCCC
RNAcentral lists this ribosomal RNA (449 nucleotides) under uncultured organism. RNAcentral describes it as "partial 16S ribosomal RNA". It matches the Rfam family "Bacterial small subunit ribosomal RNA", at positions 331 to 797 of the family's 1533-position model. The record is from RNAcentral.